UCGUUUUAUAUUUUGAAUAUGUUGGCCUUUCACCGAUUGCAAAUAAUUAUUUGGUAAAAGUUUCUCAUUUAUAUCGAUUACCUAAGCAAUUCGUAUUAGACUUAAUUUUGGAGGAUGGAUAUAUACCUCUGCGAUUUAGAAAAAAUAAAUUAAAAAAAAUCGGUGAGAGAACAAUUAAGGCAAUUUGGUAUGAUCAACCUACUGAUGAUAGGUUUAACAUUCAUUGUGCUGUGUGUAUGUUUGUAUAUCAUCCAGACACUGUUCAAUUUCCUGACCUUGAUCAUUUUUAUUUGGAAAAUCUAUUCACGGAAUCUUGAGGACAAGAUUUUUUUGUUAGUAGGGGAAAUUUAUCAUAACGGAAAUUAUACAGAAAUUGGUUAAAGGACAUGCGGUAUAUAGAUAACGUAUGUUUAUUUAUGUUCAUGGAGAAAUGUGUUAUUAAGUCCAGUGAUGAGCCUGUCGAUGCCGGGUCAGAAAUCUAAAUAAAACGCUUCUACUAACCACGGUGCGUCAGAUCAUUAGUAUGCACUUAAUCGCAUUUACUUAUAAGGUCCGGAGAUCGGAGGUAGUGUCCGUGCGUAUAAGCCAGUAGUCAACUGGAAGCUGUCUUUUCCCUCCUCUUUUUAUACAUGUAAGAUCAUAGUAAGAUACUUGCGCGGUUUUAAUAAAAGUUAACAAAAAUGAUUCAGAAGGUUCAAGUAAAUAUAAUAUCUUAUUUUCAGAGUUUUUGUAAUCAAUGUUUAUUGUUAAUAACUAUACAUUAUAUUAUAUUGUGGAAUUUGAUUGGAAUGUUUUAUUAGUAAACUUGAAUAAAAGAAGUAGUCAACUGAAAGCUGUCUUUUGCCUCCUCUUUUUAUACAGGGAAAGGGCUACUCCCCAGGUUGAGGAGGAGAGAAUUCUGGGUUAUAUAACGUGGCACAGACAACGCCAGGUGUCUGGUCAAGGACGAAUAAGACCCCGAGGAUCAAAUUAACUGAAAUAUCGUAUUAAGCGAAAUCCUAGUACGAUAUCAUACUGGAAACGACUACGACCUGAUGGCCACCCCGGUCUCUCAGACGUCGGGGGGACUGCCCCGCCUAUUCUUCGCGGGGGAACACACCAUCAGGAACUACCCCGCCACGGUUCACGGGGCUCUCCUCAGUGGUCUUCGAAAGGCGGGUCGGAUAGCGGACAAAUUCCUUGGGACACCUACGCCCUACCCACCCACAAAAACGAAGGGAUGAAGACGUAAUAACAACUCGCAUCAAUGACAUUCAUCAUCCGAGUCAUUUCACAUUGCCGAGACAUACCUAACAUGCAUUUGGGUUCUUGGCAUGUUUAGAAGUGCAGAUACGGGAUUAGCGUAUUUUUUUCUUCUUUUUUUUUAACCUUGAAAAAUAAAUCAUUUUUAGAAACCACUUGCAUCAGUGAAAAUGGCAGCUGCGAUUCGAGUUGUAAUUGUUAUGGCUAAAUUCAAAUGGUUCGUGUUUAUAUUUGUUGGUGAUUAGAAUACCGUACAUGUUUUUCGUAUCAUCAAGUUAAUGCAAUACAAACUUCCUUAGGCUAGUAUAAAAUGGUGUCAAUGCAAUAACCAUUGAUACGGUUUCAUUUAUACAUCACAGUGUGUGUUCUUGGCAUAUGUUCAUCAUUUUUUCAUCCAGUCAAUUUUGCACAUCGCUGAACCAGGCGUUUCAGGAUGUAAUAAAAGUAUGUGACAAAU
This is a long non-coding RNA of Magallana angulata, 1699 nucleotides long. RefSeq lists it as uncharacterized. The record is from RefSeq and is a predicted model, not a curated record. The transcript is spliced from 2 exons. NCBI's taxonomy places the organism in Eukaryota, Metazoa, Mollusca, Bivalvia, Ostreida, Ostreidae.